Molecule: long non-coding RNA, 1845 nt
Organism: Piliocolobus tephrosceles (Ugandan red Colobus)
Lineage: Eukaryota; Metazoa; Chordata; Mammalia; Primates; Cercopithecidae
Source: Ensembl
UGCUAAAGUUUUUGAUGAUAUAUCUUCCUUUAGCGAAGAGUUAAUAAAUUCCUUUUCUCAAGUUUUAAAGAAAGUCCCGCUUGUAGGUACGUUCGAGUAAAAUAUAUAUAUAUAUAUAUAUUGUUGUUGUACGUUUAUCUGAAAAUGCUUAAAAGUAUAUCACAUUUGAAUAUAUUCUACUUUUAUUUUACGCUAACAUAUGCAUACAUACAUACAUAAAUAAAUACAUACGUACAUACAUACAUACACUCAUAAACACAUAUAUCUCUCUCAGUACUCAAAGAAAAAGUAAAAAUUCAAAUUGCAAAAGCGUCCGAAAGUUUAAAGGUACCUAAUCCAGAAGGCGAGCUAUGUGAUAUUAAUUACUCAAACGUUUGUCCAGAAGGAUGGGGUAACUAUGGAGAUGGAACAACAUGUUUAAGUCCAGUAAAUUACAAAGGACCUUGUGACAAGAAAAUGUCUUUUAAAAAUGCUACACCAAUAAGUAAAUAUAACUUUUCUAUAAAAUGUAAUGUAUCAUGGCCCUGUAUGGGUAAAUGUGAAGAAGAUUUUGAAAAAGAGUGUCCUGAUGGUUGGUCUUUAAUAAAUUAUAUUUGCUAUGCUCCUGAAAAUUACGAGGGGAAUUGUGUAAGAUCUAAAAAUUUUUCUACGUUUUCUAAAUCAGAAAAAAAAGUAUGGGCGGAUAUAUGUAAUGUUAGUUGGUCAUGUUAUGAAAAAAGUUACAACUUUAACAAUUUGUGUCCAUUAAAUUGGAAAACUAAUCCAGACAAUAAAACCUGUUCAGCACCUGAUACUUAUGUUGGACCAUGUAACAAUAUUUUAUAUUUAUAUAAUUUAAAAGAGGAAGAAAAAAAAAGUUUGAAAAAAAUAUGUAAUAUAGAAUGGAACCAUAUAAAUAAUAACAAAGAAUAUGAUUUACAAGCGCUAUGUCCUAUUGGAUGGAAAAUAACUGAUGUAGGUAUUUUACAAUGUGAAGCACCUUCUUCUUAUAAUGGACCGUGUGAAAAAAAAAUAUCAUUUUUAAAUUUUAGUAAAGAGGAAAAAUAUUUAUAUUCACAACGUUGUGAUAUUAAAUGGCCAUUGCUAGAUGAACAUAUACAAAAUUUUGAUUUGCCUUGUCCUUAUAAUUGGGUUUUGUUAGAUAAAGAAGAAAAUAUAUGUGCAUCUCCCAUAGAAUAUUUAGGACCAUGUGAAAAUAUAUUAUCUUUUAAAAAUUUUACAAAAGAAAUGAAAGCUGCCUGGGCAUCAGUUUGUAACGCUGUAUUUAUUAACGACAGUGCAUAUGUUCUUAACACUAGAAAUAAAAAUACAAAUACAUGGAGGAAUAGAAAAACUAAAAUUUUUGGACUAAACAAGUCAAAAAAUACUUUAGAUAUAAACACACCCUCAGUUAAUAAUGGACCAAUUGGUUACACAAAUUCUAUAUAUGAAGGAAUGAUAUUAAAUGCAGAUGAUACAACGAAAUAUUUAACAAAUAAUAAAAAGGGCAAAAAAUAUAAAAAUAAAGAUAUACAAAUUGAAGAUAUUGGAGAGAGUAACUACAAUAAUAAUACUAAUGACAGUUCGUUCAUUUUAAAUGAUAAGAAAAUUACUGAUUUAAUUUUACUAAAAGAAUCUUCUACAGAUGAAGAAUUAAAAGCUAAUAUAGAUGAAACAAUAAAUGAAGUAAAAAAAAGGCUACUACGACAAAACAAAUCUUUUUCUUUUAUUCAACUGACAAAAAAAAAUCAUACUAUAAAUGAUAAUAUAAAUAAAAAUGAAUUAGUUAACACAAAUAAAUUAACAAAUAACAUAAACAAAUUACAUAUAGACACAUUGAAUGAUCUAAAUGGUAGUAAUGAAAAA